RNAcentral lists this long non-coding RNA (1420 nucleotides) under Populus trichocarpa (black cottonwood). RNAcentral describes it as "long non-coding RNA (PTRI_LNC000653)". Lineage: Eukaryota; Viridiplantae; Streptophyta; Magnoliopsida; Malpighiales; Salicaceae. The record is from RNAcentral.
AUUUCUUUUCAUAUUUUUUUACUAGGAUUGGUACUCAGCUUUUAAGAAACAGAUUCUAUAAUGACAUUUUAUAUUGAAUGAUAAUUAAUUAUUAAGAAGUCAGAAACUUAUUCCCUUGUCUAUUUAGGUGCACCUUUUGAGAUGUGGUUCUUUUCUUGGGUUACAUGAAGUUUUUGAAACUGUUUCAGGACCUUGGGAAUUGUCAUGUUAUUUCUUUUCAAGCUUGUGCUCCAUCAUGGCUGCAGUUUUUAAAUUCCUGUAUUGAACGGUUCUGGUUGGUCUUAGAUAGAUUAACUUCCAGAUUGGGUGUUUUGUAUUUGGGUUUGUUAGACAUGUAGGACAUGUAUCCCUUAAGCCUGUGAUUGUCAGACUUGGGCCAGUAGCUUCCUCCUAAUACAUUAUUUAGAUUUAGGAAACCAACAAUAAGAGAGGAUACGACCAUUCUACUCCUAGGUAUGGAAUUGACUUUAGGAAAGGAGAUGGAUAUACAACGUGGAGAAUUCUUAUUGAUUGAAGGAGAGAUAUUAAGUUAGAUGAUCUGUUGCCUAUUAAAAACCUUUGAUACUGAGCAGGAAAAGGGAAUUUUAUUUAUUUGUUUAUGAUUUAGAUAAUCUUUCUUUCUGAAGUUUAAUAUCAUCUAAGAUUUUUCUUGGAUUAACUAUUUCAUUUCGAUUAUCUUCUUUGGAUUUAAGUUACUAAGAUUUUUUCAGUGUCUUUUUAAGUACAAACUACAUGUAUUCUGGGACACAUUUAUGGUGAACUGUUGCCCUAUUAAAAACCUUUGAUACUGAGCAGGAAAAAGGAAUUUUAUUUGUUUGUUUAUAAUUUAGAUAAUCUUUCUUUCUGAAAUUUAAUAUCAUCUAAGAAUUUUCUUGGAUUAACCAUUACAUUUUGAUUAUCUACUUUGUAUUUAAGUUAAGUUACUAGGAUUUUUUCAGUGUCUUUUUAAGUAACUACAUGUAUUCUGGGACACAUUUAUGGUGAAUUAGACUGAGAUGUGAGAAUUGUUUCAUGCUUCAGACUCCUAUAAGGUUUUCCACUUUUAUUCAAUUUAUUACUUCCUCUUUUUUUGGGAAUUUUUCAAUUUUUUGACUUUGUUGGUAUCCUUGUACUGCUUUACCUUUACACACAAAUCGGUGAAAAGAGAAGGAAUUUGGGAAGGGAGUGGAAAAGGAGGACAAAAACUUGGUGAAAUGUUCCUCAAGAUUCAGUUGUUAUGAUAAUUUCACAUGACAGAUCAACAGGGAGGAGAUGUUAAAGAAAAAAAUGAGGAUUAGUUCAUGAAAUAAGAAAUGAAAUGUGCGGAUAGAGAGUGCAAUGGUUGUUUAACAUGAAAAAAAAGUUCUAUAACAGACUUGGCAGCAAGUAUUCCGUAUAGUUCUCGGCAUGAGCUUUAAUCUGCUUUAAGACCGUGAUCUCC